AUCCUUUGUAGGUGAAAGUUCCACAUCAAGGAAACAAGGUGAUGAGGUGGAUGAAAAUAGACGUUAUCAUCUCUCGUACCUGAAAAAGAGACCUAACCCUCAUGAUGAGGAUGGGAGUUCAGAUAUAGAUGAGCCCAGGAACAAGCUUGGUUAUGAGGCCCUCACAGAAGAAGAGGAGAGGGAAUCGAACCAAGACUUUGGUGGCAAUUGAUGGAGGUUCUGACCUCUUAUCCCCCCAAAAGAGACCUAACCCUCACAAU
Molecule: long non-coding RNA, 260 nt
Organism: Toxotes jaculatrix (banded archerfish)
Lineage: Eukaryota; Metazoa; Chordata; Actinopteri; Toxotidae
Exons: 4
Source: RefSeq, a predicted model, not a curated record